UGCCAGCCGCCGCGGUAAUACGGAGGGUGCAAGCGUUAAUCGGAAUUACUGGGCGUAAAGCGCGUGUAGGCGGCUUUGCAAGUCGGGUGUGAAAUCCCUCGGCCCAACCGAGGAACUGCGCCCGAUACUGGUAGUCUUGAGGACAGGAGGGGAGCGUGGAAUUCCUGGUGGAGCGGUGAAAUGCGUUGAUAUCAGGAGGAACACCGGCGGCGAAAGCGGCUUUCUGGAGCUCUUCUGACGCUGAGGAACGAAAGCUAGGGGAGCGAACAGGAUUAGAUA
RNAcentral lists this ribosomal RNA (279 nucleotides) under uncultured bacterium. RNAcentral describes it as "partial 16S ribosomal RNA". It matches the Rfam family "Bacterial small subunit ribosomal RNA", at positions 506 to 784 of the family's 1533-position model. The record is from RNAcentral.